This 497-nucleotide ribosomal RNA is filed under the name uncultured bacterium. Its description in RNAcentral is "partial 16S ribosomal RNA". It matches the Rfam family "Bacterial small subunit ribosomal RNA", at positions 28 to 507 of the family's 1533-position model. The record is from RNAcentral.
GAUGAACGCUGGCGGCGUGCCUAAUACAUGCAAGUCGAGCGAACGGACGAGAAGCUUGCUUCUCUGAUGUUAGCGGCGGACGGGUGAGUAACACGUGGAUAACCUACCUAUAAGACUGGGAUAACUUCGGGAAACCGGAGCUAAUACCAGAUAAUAUUUUGAACCGCAUGGUUCAAAAGUGAAAGACGGUCUUGCUGUCACUUAUAGAUGGAUCCGCGCUGCAUUAGCUAGUUGAUAAGGUAACGGCUUACCAAGGCAACGAUGCAUAGCCGACCUGAGAGGGUGAUCGGCCACACUGGAACUGAGACACGGUCCAGACUCCUACGGGAGGCAGCAGUAGGGAAUCUUCCGCAAUGGGCGAAAGCCUGACGGAGCAACGCCGCGUGAGUGAUGAAGGUCUUCGGAUCGUAAAACUCUGUUAUUAGGGAAGAACAUAUGUGUAAGUAACUGUGCACAUCUUGACGGUACCUAAUCAGAAAGCCACGGCUAACUACGUG